CAUGUACUCCCUCCGUUCCGAAUUACUUGUCGCAGGUAUGGAUGCAUCUAGAUGUAUUUUAGUUCUAGAUACACCCAUUUCUACGACGAGUAAUUUGGAACGGAGGGAGUAGCAU
Molecule: non-coding RNA, 115 nt
Organism: Triticum urartu
Lineage: Eukaryota; Viridiplantae; Streptophyta; Magnoliopsida; Poales; Poaceae
Source: Rfam